GACGAACGCUGGCGGCGUGCUUAACACAUGCAAGUCGAACGGAAAGGCCCUGCUUUUGUGGGGUGCUCGAGUGGCGAACGGGUGAGUAACACGUGAGUAACCUGCCCUUGACUUUGGGAUAACUUCAGGAAACUGGGGCUAAUACCGGAUAGGAGCUCCUGCUGCAUGGUGGGGGUUGGAAAGUUUCGGCGGUUGGGGAUGGACUCGCGGCUUAUCAGCUUGUUGGUGGGGUAGUGGCUUACCAAGGCUUUGACGGGUAGCCGGCCUGAGAGGGUGACCGGCCACAUGGGGACUGAGGUACGGCCCAGACUCCUACGGGAGGCAGCAGUGGGGAAUAUUGCACAAUGGGCGGAAGCCUGAGGCAGCAACGCCGCGUGCGGGAUGACGGCCUUCGGGUUGUAAACCGCUUUCGCCUGUGACGAAGCGUGAGUGACGGUAAUGGGUAAAGAAGCACCGGCUAACUACGUG
This 468-nucleotide ribosomal RNA is filed under the name uncultured bacterium. RNAcentral describes it as "partial 16S ribosomal RNA". It matches the Rfam family "Bacterial small subunit ribosomal RNA", at positions 28 to 507 of the family's 1533-position model. The record is from RNAcentral.